CGCGACCCCAGGUCAGGCGGGGCUACCCGCUGAGUUUAA
Molecule: ribosomal RNA, 39 nt
Filed under: Crocus vernus
Lineage: Eukaryota; Viridiplantae; Streptophyta; Magnoliopsida; Asparagales; Iridaceae
Description: partial 26S ribosomal RNA
Source: RNAcentral